This 579-nucleotide ribosomal RNA is filed under the name uncultured Bacilli bacterium. RNAcentral describes it as "bacterial SSU rRNA". It matches the Rfam family "Bacterial small subunit ribosomal RNA", at positions 82 to 649 of the family's 1533-position model. The record is from RNAcentral. Lineage: Bacteria; Bacillati; Bacillota; Bacilli.
CUUCUCCGGAUGAGUUGCGAACGGGUGAGUAACGCGUAGGUCACCUGCCUGGUAGCGGGGGAUAACUAUUGGAAACGAUAGCUAAUACCGCAUAACAGUAGAUAUUGCAUGAUAUCUGCUUGAAAGGUGCAAUUGCAUCACUACCAGAUGGACCUGCGUUGUAUUAGCUAGUUGGUGAGGUAACGGCUCACCAAGGCGACGAUACAUAGCCGACCUGAGAGGGUGAUCGGCCACACUGGGACUGAGACACGGCCCAGACUCCUACGGGAGGCAGCAGUAGGGAAUCUUCGGCAAUGGACGGAAGUCUGACCGAGCAACGCCGCGUGAGUGAAGAAGGUUUUCGGCUCGUAAAGCUCUGUUGUAAGAGAAGAACGAGUGUGAGAGUGGAAAGUUCACACUGUGACGGUAUCUUACCAGAAAGGGACGGCUAACUACGUGCCAGCAGCCGCGGUAAUACGUAGGUCCCGAGCGUUGUCCGGAUUUAUUGGGCGUAAAGCGAGCGCAGGCGGUUAGGUAAGUCUGAAGUUAAAGGCUGUGGCUUAACCAUAGUACGCUUUGGAAACUGUUUAACUUGAGUGC